Molecule: long non-coding RNA, 976 nt
Organism: Onychostoma macrolepis
Lineage: Eukaryota; Metazoa; Chordata; Actinopteri; Cypriniformes; Cyprinidae
Exons: 4
Source: RefSeq, a predicted model, not a curated record
GGCGUCAUGCGCCGGCUGUUGAGAACGCGCUCAGGACAGUUCGGACAUUGCGGUGAAUCAGAGCUUGUUCUGGACCCCAUCGACAGUCACUGCAUGAACAAAAACAGGUGAUGGAUAGAGGUGAAAGGGGGGCAGAGAGAAAGGGAGGAGAGAUGAGAGGGACCUGACCACCCAGGCCUGUCUUUACGAGGGUCUACAAGGAAUUGGCUGCAGGUCAUCUCAGAGGGUUCAACCGUUCAGAUUCCUCAGGGAGAUUCACGAUCAGACCCUGCAGGAAUGCGGUCGGGCCACGUGCCAGUGCACUUUUCCAGGUUAUGAAAACCCCCCAAACCCACCUGAAAGAUGUUUAAACGACUGACAAGAAAAGACAACAAGCAAAGCAGACAGAAAUUUAAUUCUAGCUCUUUAUUACUCAUAGAGAUUUACGGGUGAUUGCUUUUAAGUCUUCUUCGAAGCCGUAAAACUCAAAACGUUUUAUGUUGGGAGGUGGACUAGGUGAUAUACUGGGCAGAAACAUCAAACCAAAACAGGAAAAGAAGUCGGAGUCUCUUAAAAUUAGGAAUUCUGAGAUGUGGGAUGUCAUAGUACAGCUGGGCCCAGGGAAGAGAGGUCAUCCCUCUCUCUCUGUUUCUCUCUCGCUCAGUCUCAUUAUGGUUUUCCCUUCAAAUGUAUCCUAAAACACAAGAUCUAUUUUUUUAAAGGGACAGUUCUGUCAUCAUUUGCUUAAACUUGUAUAGCUUCCGUCCUUCUGCAGAACAGAUUUUUUUUUUUUCAAUGGUGUUUGUCAAUACAGUCAAAGUCAAUGGGGUCCAAAACAACAUUGAAAAUAUAUUUUGUUGUGUUGUGUGUUGGGGAAAGCUACUAUGCAACACAUUAUCACAUUAUUGCCUUAAAAAAGUAACUAAUUGCAUUGCUUAGUUACUUUUUAUGAAAAGUAAUGUGUUGUGUUACUUUUGCAUUGCUUUAUCUCAUCUGG